AACUUGAGGGCAGCAGAGGGAAGGUGGAAUUCUGGGAGUAGCGGCGAAAUGUGUAGAUAUCGGGAGGAACACCAGUGUCGAAGGCGGCCUCCUGUGCUGCUCCUGACGCUGAAGGCGAAAGCUAGGGGAGCGAACGAGAUUAGAAACCCUGGUAGUCAUAGCAGUAAAUGAUGGAUGCUAGGUGUGGGGGGUGUAGAUUCCCUCCGUGCCGCAGUUAACGCGUUAAGCAUCCCGCCUGGCGUGUACGGCCGCAAGGCUAAAACUCAAACGAAUUGACGGGGGCCUGCACAAGCAGCGGAGCGUGUGGUUUAAUUCGAUGCUACACGAAGAACCUUACCUGGGCUUGACAUACAGGUAGUAGUGAACUGAAAGCGGAUCGAUCCUUCAGGGAGCUUGUACAGGUGCUGCAUGGCUGUCGUCAGCUAGUCCCUUGAGGUGUCGGGUUAAGUCCCGUAACGAGCGCAACCCCUGCUCUUAGUUAUACGUGUUUAAGAGGACUGCCGGCGUUAAGCCGGAGGAAGGUGGGGAUGACGUCAAGUCAGCAUGUCCUUUAUGUCCAGGGUUACACCCACGGUACAAUGGCCGGUACAAUGGGUAGUUAAACCGCGAGGGGGAGCCAAUCCUGUAAAGCCGGUCUCAGUUGGAAUUGCAGGAUGCAACUAGCCUGCAUGAAGUGGGAGUUGUUAGUAAUCGCAGGUCAGCAAUACUGCGGUGAAUACGUUCCCGGGCCUUGUACACACCGCCCGUCACGUCAUGGAAGCUGGCAACACCCGAAGCCGGUGAGC
Molecule: ribosomal RNA, 785 nt
Filed under: uncultured organism
Description: bacterial SSU rRNA
Rfam family: Bacterial small subunit ribosomal RNA
Source: RNAcentral